Characodon lateralis is the source of this 86-nucleotide non-coding RNA. Lineage: Eukaryota; Metazoa; Chordata; Actinopteri; Cyprinodontiformes; Goodeidae. The record is from the annotation of a GenBank genome assembly.
GGCUGCACUGUGGUGCUGUUGGGAGCACUGUUGCCUUGCAACCAGAAGGUCCUGGGUUCAAAUCCCAGCCUGUGUGUGUGCGGUCA